CCUACGGGAGGCAGCAGUGGGGAAUUUUGGACAAUGGGCGAAAGCCUGAUCCAGCCAUGCCGCGUGAGUGAAGAAGGCCUUCGGGUUGUAAAGCUCUUUUAGUCGGAAAGAAAGAGUUGCAAUGAAUAAUUGUGAUUUAUGACGGUACCGACAGAAAAAGCACCGGCUAACUACGUGCCAGCAGCCGCGGUAAUACGUAGGGUGCGAGCGUUAAUCGGAAUUACUGGGCGUAAAGGGUGCGCAGGCGGUCUUGCAAGUCAGAUGUGAAAGCCCCGGGCUUAACCUGGGAAUUGCGUUUGAAACUACAAGGCUAGAGUGCAGCAGAGGGGAGUGGAAUUCCAUGCGUAGCAGUGAAAUGCGUAGAGAUGUGGAAGAACACCGAUGGCGAAGGCAGCUCCCUGGGUUGACACUGACGCUCAUGCACGAAAGCGUGGGGAGCAAACAGGAUUAGAUACCCUGGUAGUCCACGCCCUAAACGAUGUCAACUAGUUGUCGGAUCUAAUUAAGGAUUUGGUAACGUAGCUAACGCGUGAAGUUGACCGCCUGGGGAGUACGGUCGCAAG
Molecule: ribosomal RNA, 563 nt
Filed under: uncultured organism
Description: bacterial SSU rRNA
Rfam family: Bacterial small subunit ribosomal RNA
Source: RNAcentral